This 334-nucleotide long non-coding RNA is filed under the name Mytilus galloprovincialis (Mediterranean mussel). Lineage: Eukaryota; Metazoa; Mollusca; Bivalvia; Mytilida; Mytilidae. The record is from RNAcentral.
ACUGUAUCGUAUGCCCUUAAUACUGAUUUGGUUCCUUGGAACAUUAUUGAAAACAAAAGUAUGUUCUUAUCUAUCAUGUAAUGCUUGAUGUCAUAAAUCAUGUAAUGCUUGAUGUCAUAAACGUUUAACUGAAAUUGUCCAAAUAAGCAGUGAUAUUUUUCCUUUCUUUCAUAAAUCAGGCCAUUUAAUAGUUUAAUUGUUUGGUUUUUUUUUACAUUUUGCCAUAUGGUUGCCUUUUAUAGCUUACUGUACGGUAUGGAUUUUUGACCAAUUAGUGCAAACUCUUGCUUCAUAUGAAGUUAUGCAGAAUGAUGUCACCUUGGCUAUCAUACCA